RNAcentral lists this ribosomal RNA (302 nucleotides) under uncultured bacterium. RNAcentral's name for it is "partial 16S ribosomal RNA". It matches the Rfam family "Bacterial small subunit ribosomal RNA", at positions 508 to 807 of the family's 1533-position model. The record is from RNAcentral.
GCAGUCGCCGCGGUAAUACGUAGGUGGCAAGCGUUGUCCGGAAUUAUUGGGCGUAAAGGGCUCGCAGGCGGUUUCUUAAGUCUGAUGUGAAAGCCCCCGGCUCAACCGGGGAGGGUCAUUGGAAACUGGGAAACUUGAGUGCAGAAGAGGAGAGUGGAAUUCCACGUGUAGCGGUGAAAUGCGUAGAGAUGUGGAGGAACACCAGUGGCGAAGGCGACUCUCUGGUCUGUAACUGACGCUGAGGAGCGAAAGCGUGGGGAGCAAGCAGGAUUAGAUACCCGCGUAGUCCCUGUCUCUUAUAC